This 484-nucleotide ribosomal RNA is filed under the name uncultured bacterium. RNAcentral describes it as "bacterial SSU rRNA". It matches the Rfam family "Bacterial small subunit ribosomal RNA", at positions 308 to 793 of the family's 1533-position model. The record is from RNAcentral.
UCCCACGACUAGCAGAGCAUCCUACGGGAGGCAGCAUGGGGAAUAUUGCACAAUGGGCGCAAGCCUGAUGCAGCCAUGCCGCGUGUAUGAAGAAGGCCUUCGGGUUGUAAAGUACUUUCAGCAGUGAGGAAGGUGGAUAUGUUAAUAGCAUAUUCAUUUGACGUUAGCUGCAGAAGAAGCACCGGCUAACUCCGUGCCAGCAGCCGCGGUAAUACGGAGGGUGCGAGCGUUAAUCGGAAUUACUGGGCGUAAAGCGCAUGCAGGUGGUUUGUUAAGUCAGAUGUGAAAGCCCGGGGCUCAACCUCGGAAUUGCAUUUUGAAACUGGCAAACUAGAGUACUGUAGAGGGGGGUAGAAUUUCAGGUGUAGCGGUGAAAUGCGUAGAGAUCUGAAGGAAUACCGGUGGCGAAGGCGGCCCCCCUGGACAGAUACUGACACUCAGAUGCGAAAGCGUGGGGAGCAAACAGGAUUACAUACCCUGGUAG